This 66-nucleotide transfer RNA is filed under the name Mycobacterium koreense. RNAcentral's name for it is "Mycolicibacillus koreensis tRNA-Ser". It matches the Rfam family "tRNA". From Rfam's summary of the family: Transfer RNA (tRNA) molecules are approximately 80 nucleotides in length. Their secondary structure includes four short double-helical elements and three loops (D, anti-codon, and T loops). Further hydrogen bonds mediate the characteristic L-shaped molecular structure. tRNAs have two regions of fundamental functional importance: the anti-codon, which is responsible for specific mRNA codon recognition, and the 3' end, to which the tRNAs corresponding amino acid is attached (by aminoacyl-tRNA synthetases). tRNAs cope with the degeneracy of the genetic code in two manners: having more than one tRNA (with a specific anti-codon) for a particular amino acid; and 'wobble' base-pairing, i.e. permitting non-standard base-pairing at the 3rd anti-codon position. Lineage: Bacteria; Bacillati; Actinomycetota; Actinomycetes; Mycobacteriales; Mycobacteriaceae. The record is from RNAcentral.
CAGGUCAGUGACCAUCUUGUCCGCCUGAAAAGCGGAAGGUCGCCGGUUCGAUCCCGGCCCUGGCCA